UACGAAGGGGGCUAGCGUUGUUCGGAAUUACUGGGCGUAAAGGGCGCGUAGGCGGCGUGUCAAGUCAGGCGUGAAAGCCCCGGGCUCAACCUGGGAACCGCGCUUGAGACUGGCAUGCUCGAGUUCGGGAGAGGAUGGUGGAAUUCCCAGUGUAGAGGUGAAAUUCGUAGAUAUUGGGAAGAACACCGAUGGCGAAGGCAGCCAUCUGGACCGGCACUGACGCUGAGGCGCGAAAGCGUGGGGAGCAAACAGG
This 253-nucleotide ribosomal RNA is filed under the name uncultured bacterium. Its description in RNAcentral is "partial 16S ribosomal RNA". It matches the Rfam family "Bacterial small subunit ribosomal RNA", at positions 524 to 776 of the family's 1533-position model. The record is from RNAcentral.